UUCAACCACAAUCAAAUGACAGGGUGUGGUUAUAAUUAGCAUUACUGUACAUCGGCAUAGUAAAACAUGUCGCAUGUAUCUUAAUCAAUGACCGAUUUAAUGCACCGCACCCAGCGAGCACACAAUGUUCGUGACCUGCACAGUAGCCUACAGGCUGGGUCUGGCUAACAAGCUAACAUGCUAACAUGCUCAUCCUCCAGGUGAUCUCUGCGUCCACUGAGGAACUUCUACCUUCAUGAGAUGAAUGAGGACUUUCUGCUGUUUUACACUGUUAAUCCCUGAUGUGACGGUGGACUGGCCAAGUGGACUGGUCAUACUGGGACAAGGAGGCCGAGUGGACUCCUUGUCUGCAUUGAAAAUGAAUCAGUAGAGGAGUUGAACUUGGAUCAAACUGUGGAGGACGUCGCUGUGCUAAAGACUCACAGAUCCAGGUUCAGGCAGACAACGGCUGGCACACAACAGUGAGGGAGAGCAGACCUGCUAUGGGAGAGCUGUGGGAAUGGACGAGCAAGUGGCUGUCCAGGAAAGAUGUAAUGGAUGCCGUUCUGAACCUUACAUGAUGUCACCUGAAGGAACUAAACAGCAACGGGAGAGCAGGAGAUCUACAGUAUGACACAACAUCAUAAGUCAAUGAUUCCUGUCUGCCUGCCUGCUUGUGUGCCAGUCCGCCUGCCUGCCAACAAUCUCUCUGCCGCGUCCUCGGCCAGCCACGCCGCCCAGCCGCUCUUCCAUUCCCCCUCUUCCCUCUGCCGUCUCCAGCCGUCCCCACACUCCAACCCAUCUCAGUCUACAGUCAC
Molecule: long non-coding RNA, 797 nt
Organism: Sebastes umbrosus (honeycomb rockfish)
Lineage: Eukaryota; Metazoa; Chordata; Actinopteri; Perciformes; Sebastidae
Exons: 4
Source: RefSeq, a predicted model, not a curated record